RNAcentral lists this ribosomal RNA (505 nucleotides) under uncultured bacterium. RNAcentral describes it as "partial 16S ribosomal RNA". It matches the Rfam family "Bacterial small subunit ribosomal RNA", at positions 28 to 507 of the family's 1533-position model. The record is from RNAcentral.
GACGAACGCUGGCGGCGUGCCUAAUACAUGCAAGUAGAACGCACAGUUUAUACCGUAGCUUGCUACACCAUAGACUGUGAGUUGCGAACGGGUGAGUAACGCGUAGGUAACCUGCCUGGUAGCGGGGGAUAACUAUUGGAAACGAUAGCUAAUACCGCAUAAUAUUAAUUAUUGCAUGAUAAUUAAUUGAAAGGUGCAAUUGCACCACUACCAGAUGGACCUUCGUUGUAUUAGCUAGUAGGUGAGGUAACGGCUCACCUAGGCGACGAUACAUAGCCGACCUGAGAGGGUGAUCGGCCACACUGGGACUGGGACACGGCCCAGACUCCUACGGGAGGCAGCAGUAGGGGAUCUUCGGCAAUGGACGAAAGUCUGACCGAGCAACGCCGCGUGAGUGAAGAAGGUUUUCGGAUCGUAAAGCUCUGUUGUAAGAGAAGAACGGGUGUGAGAGUGGAAAGUUCACACUGUGACGGUAUCUUACCAGAAAGGGACGGCUAACUACGUG